GAUAAGAAUGCUAGAUUAAAAACGAUGCGCUCGGCUGCCAUGAAAAAACGAUCCGAAGAAUCUGAGGGUGAAAGGGUCGCCAGGUUACAAAGAUUGACCUCUAUCGCCGUAAUUAGGAAAAUGGACAAAUUUCAGGAAGAAAGAGGAAGGCAAAUAUACGCUCAAAAGCAGCAUUUAUGCGGCUACGUUAAUCGAGUUGUAAGCAAAAUUCUGCAUUUACCAAUAAUCCAUCUACAUUGUACGAAUCAGACACUGAUGUAGUGAUUGGGUCCAUGUCGACAAUAUGUUGUCACUGUAAAGCUCUCAGAUUUAAAGAUAAGAG
This 322-nucleotide long non-coding RNA is filed under the name Androctonus crassicauda. Lineage: Eukaryota; Metazoa; Arthropoda; Arachnida; Scorpiones; Buthidae. The record is from RNAcentral.